GAUGAACGCUGGCGGCGUGCCUAAUACAUGCAAGUCGAGCGAACGGACGAGAAGCUUGCUUCUCUGAUGUUAGCGGCGGACGGGUGAGUAACACGUGGAUAACCUACCUAUAAGACUGGGAUAACUUCGGGAAACCGGAGCUAAUACCGGAUAAUAUUUUGAACCGCAUGGUUCAAAAGUGAAAGACGGUCUUGCUGUCACUUAUAGAUGGAUCCGCGCUGCAUUAGCUAGUUGGUAAGGUAACGGCUUACCAAGGCAACGAUGCAUAGCCGACCUGAGAGGGUGGUCGGCCACACUGGAACUGAGACACGGUCCAGACUCCUACGGGAGGCAGCAGUAGGGAAUCUUCCGCAAUGGGCGAAAGCCUGACGGAGCAACGCCGCGUGAGUGAUGAAGGUCUUCGGAUCGUAAAACUCUGUUAUUAGGGAAGAACAUAUGUGUAAGUAACUGUGCACAUCUUGACGGUACCUAAUCAGAAAGCCUCGGCUAACUACGUG
RNAcentral lists this ribosomal RNA (497 nucleotides) under uncultured bacterium. Its description in RNAcentral is "partial 16S ribosomal RNA". It matches the Rfam family "Bacterial small subunit ribosomal RNA", at positions 28 to 507 of the family's 1533-position model. The record is from RNAcentral.